CCUACGGGAGGCAGCAGUAAGGAAUAUUGGUCAAUGGACGAAAGUCUGAACCAGCCAUGCCGCGUGAAGGAUUAAGGCCCUCUGGGUUGUAAACUUCUUUUAUCUGGGACGAAAAAAGGGUAUUCUUACUCACUUGACGGUACCAGAGGAAUAAGCACCGGCUAACUCCGUGCCAGCAGCCGCGGUAAUACGGAGGGUGCAAGCGUUAUCCGGAUUUACUGGGUUUAAAGGGUGCGUAGGUGGGCUUGUAAGUCAGUGGUGAAAUCUCCGGGCUUAACCCGGAAACUGCCAUUGAUACUAUAGGUCUUGAAUUAUCUGGAGGUAAGCGGAAUAUGUCAUGUAGCGGUGAAAUGCUUAGAUAUGACAUAGAACAUCAAUUGCGAAGGCAGCUUACUACGGAUACAUUGACACUGAGGCACGAAAGCGUGGGGAUCAAACAGGAUUAGAUACCCUGGUAGUCCACGCCCUAAACGAUAGAUACUACACAUACANACGAUACACUGUUGUGUNUGNGAGAAGANAUAAGUA
This 528-nucleotide ribosomal RNA is filed under the name uncultured bacterium. RNAcentral describes it as "bacterial SSU rRNA". It matches the Rfam family "Bacterial small subunit ribosomal RNA", at positions 338 to 866 of the family's 1533-position model. The record is from RNAcentral.